UACGAACCGUCCAAACGUUAUUCGGAAUUACUGGGCUUAAAGGGUGCGUAGGCGGCCCGGGAAGUUGGGUGUGAAAGCCCUCGGCUCAACCGAGGAAUUGCGCCCAAAACUGCCGGGCUUGAGGGAGAUAGAGGUGAGCGGAACUUAGGGUGGAGCGGUGAAAUGCGUUGAUAUCCUAAGGAACACCGGUGGCGAAAGCGGCUCACUGGGUCUCUUCUGACGCUGAGGCACGAAAGCUAGGGUAGCGAACGGG
This 253-nucleotide ribosomal RNA is filed under the name uncultured bacterium. Its description in RNAcentral is "partial 16S ribosomal RNA". It matches the Rfam family "Bacterial small subunit ribosomal RNA", at positions 524 to 776 of the family's 1533-position model. The record is from RNAcentral.